GGAGAGGUGCCAGAGUGGCCGAAUGGGACGCACUCGAAAUGCGUUGACCCUUUGCGGGGUCCGAGGGUUCGAAUCCCUCCCUCUCCGCCA
This 90-nucleotide transfer RNA is filed under the name bacterium endosymbiont of Escarpia laminata. Its description in RNAcentral is "tRNA-Ser". It matches the Rfam family "tRNA". From Rfam's summary of the family: Transfer RNA (tRNA) molecules are approximately 80 nucleotides in length. RNAcentral also lists the same sequence under 6 other names. The record is from RNAcentral.